UGCUAUUAGGAGCUUUUUCUUCUGUUUAUUUUGCUACAGGAUCACAUUUUUACUGGAGCCAAGUAGCAUGUUAACUUUUGAUUUCCAGAGGCCUUUGAAUGAUGAGGCUCGUGACAUGAAGCCCACUUCUUGAAGCACUGACUACGAUCAGAAGGUUAUCCAAACUCUUCGAGCCUCUUGAGACUCUAAAUUGGCUUGGAAGAGCCAGGCUACUUUCUGAAAUUUUGGCACUUCCUGAUCCCAGAGACGCUGCAAAUAACACGGCAACAGACUCUUACAUCAGAGGUUUCAAGGAUGAUUUACAAACCAGAAAAAGAAUUCUACAGCGCUCCAAGGAGGGCAUGAAUCCCAAGCCUGUCCAUCAGUUCAACAGGAGAAAAUGAGUUAGAGCCAGUGGGGAACAACAAUCAGGAGAACGGAACAAAAACAGGGCUGUAAUUAGUCUCUGGGCUACCUGCUAGCCUAUCAAGCAUCACCUCAUUCCUCCUGGGUGACAGGACAGCAGCAGUCGCCCCAAAUGACAGAUUCAGCUGUAUACAGCUCUGCAAAUGGAAAGUUCUUUGUGUGCAAGUCUGAGGCUGCAUACACACAUCCGUGAACUCUCCGAAAGCAAACUAGCUUUUAUAAUGCCAAAUUCCAAGAAAGAAACCAGCUCAGCAGCUGUGAAAGGUGUCUCUGUGUUUCAUUGUUGAUAAAAGUACAACCCACAGUGACUCAAACCUCAGGAUGUGGUAGGAAGCUGAGAAGAAAAGAAAGAUAGAGAGUGGGGGAAAAAGAGAACAAAACCUUUUCUCAGGAUGAGGGGUUCAGACAUGCCAGAUUUCUUUGGCACAGACAUUGCUGUCAUGAGCCUUGCAGACGUUUAAUGUUUGAUUCUCUGCUUUCUUCUCACUUGGCACUGAGCAUGAGGAGUUUGAAAACAGUAUUGCAAAGCGUUUAAAUUCUAAAGCUGAGCAAUGAGUGCCAUCAACAGCAUCUCCUUCAUAUACUGCAGGCAGGAACCUGCCAUGUGUGGACUGUCAUCAAUUGAUCAUUAACCUGUGUCUGCUCAUGGUGACAUAAACGUCAAUGAUCAUUUUCCUCCACUCCAACCCUUUCUUCAACUCUUCUGGGAAAGAAGACGGCAGCUGCCUGAAGGACAGGGAUUUGGUGUGGAAAAAGAGAAAAGGAAAAUCUAGCCUGGAAGCUGAAUACAGAAAUGAAAUAAGAGUGCAGCUACAAUACAGAUGAAGAGACAGCAGAAAAAUGUAAGAGAAUAAGAAAUGGAGCAAAUUUUGUGAAGGCUGUAUGGGCUUGUCCUUAGCAUUUACUGAUAGGAAUAAGACAGGAUCUCCUGUCAGAUUUAAUCAAAUUUGUUAGGUUGAUAAAUGCUGAUUCAGUGUUGAGAGACUGUGCCUGCUCCCCAGAGGAGGAUUAACAAAGGUGAGCCUGAGCCUCUGCAGUGCUGGUGCUGGGAAUCGAGGAGCUACUCAGACAAGGCACCUUGAAGGUAACUAAGAAAACCACGUUACUGAUAGAUUCACCUUACUACACCUCCUCCCUCGGGCCAUUACAGAGGCCCAAAAGGUCCACAAUGGAGAGAGACUGAAAACUAAUGCUCUGUCGUCAGUGAAGAGGAGCUGCGCUUCAAAGGCUGGUUUAGAGCAGGAGCCGAACCAAGCUGCUCUGCAUCAUCUUUACCGGUGAUGACAGGAGUGGGACUUCAGUGUCCCUGGGGCAAAGCCUGCCUUUGAGAAUAGCAGGCUGUGUCUGGUUGCUUUUAACCUCCAAAGAGUUUAAAUAAGUCACGUGAGCUCUGAGUGGCUGGAAAGGACAGGAAUAAUUGCAGUGGUGCUACCAAGAUACCUUGGCAGUCACUGAUACCUGAUCUAUACCAUGCAUUGUUGUCUUUGGUCUUUAUUGGCCAAUAAUUCAUAGAAACUGACUGCAAUCGAGACUGUAUCACAUGUAGCUUCUCCAGGGACUUCUGACAAUGAGCACGGGGAGAAGCCAUAGCCUUGGCAUAAGCAGAAAUGUAAGCUAGCUACUGCCACUUGCUGCUUCUUUUCUUUUGGCUCAGCUCUGAAGCAUUGUAACCUCACAUUACAAAGCCAAAUGAAAAAAUAUUCAUUUUAAUAUUCAAUAUUCAAAUAUUCAUAUACACAUAUACACUUAUGUACAUGUGUGAGGAUACAGCAUAUACAUAACAUGUUCAUUUAUCAGUGCAUUUCCUAAAUGGCUGUGUUGUUUUAAUAGUGCUAUCCCUUUAUCUCCACAAGUAAAUGACACUACUAGAUCUGAUCUCUAACUGCAUUCUGAAGACAAAUAAACUCCCGAAUGUUUCUGGGUAUCUGUCAUUAGAUUAAAAGCCAAAUAAAACAACUAAAAGAAAACAAAGUUGUCUCACUGUGCACUUGCAGGUGGUUGUGCGUAGAACUGAGUAAAUCAGUCAUUGCAAAUAUUUGAUGAUUUUAGACCUCUCUCACUUCUCUCCAUGUCCUGUGAACAGGCUUUAUUUUUUGUACAUAAUUAUAGUCCUCAAGAAUUUUGAUAGGUAUUUUAUAUACACAUGUUUCAACACAAUGUAAUAAAGUAGCUUUUAGCUAUAUUCAGGGCUGUUAGUGGUAUUUUUUUGUGACAUUCAUCAGGUCCUGUAAAUCAUGUGGUUCUGCACAUGCUUAGAUUUGGACAACUGAAAACACCAUAAAACAGAGGUUGAAAAAAUCAGAGAUUUUAGGUGAUCACAUCGGCGCUUGCCUAAAUUGUUGCAAGGAAGAAAGAGUGGACAGCAUGACUCAGUGUUGCUUUAAAAAAAAAAGAAUGGGUGAUUUUAAUCCCUCAUAAAUGUUUUUUAGUUUCAAAUUAUGAUGACAUUUUAGUUAAUUUUUAAUAGCAUAGCACACAUUCAAGGAUAUUUUAUCUUUACUCAUUUAUUGUUGAUGAUU
Molecule: long non-coding RNA, 2924 nt
Organism: Cuculus canorus (common cuckoo)
Lineage: Eukaryota; Metazoa; Chordata; Aves; Cuculiformes; Cuculidae
Exons: 6
Source: RefSeq, a predicted model, not a curated record